AGGUCAUGAUGUGGACAUUGUCAUUGAGGGUCUUUGUAUCUUUCCCAAGCUUUAUAUAAUGUUUCAUCUUCCUAUGAAGCAAAGGUAGUGAUAUCAUUCAUAAGCUU
Small nucleolar RNA from Mangifera indica (mango), 107 nucleotides. The record is from RefSeq and is a predicted model, not a curated record. Lineage: Eukaryota; Viridiplantae; Streptophyta; Magnoliopsida; Sapindales; Anacardiaceae.